This 948-nucleotide ribosomal RNA is filed under the name uncultured Ascomycota. RNAcentral's name for it is "eukaryotic LSU rRNA". It matches the Rfam family "Eukaryotic large subunit ribosomal RNA", at positions 1 to 963 of the family's 3401-position model. Lineage: Eukaryota; Fungi; Ascomycota. The record is from RNAcentral.
CGUUUGACCUCGGAUCAGGUAGGGAUACCCGCUGAACUUAAGCAUAUCAAUAAGCGGAGGAAAAGAAACCAACAGGGAUUGCCCUAGUAACGGCGAGUGAAGCGGCAACAGCUCAAAUUUGAAAUCUGGCUCUUUUAGAGUCCGAGUUGUAAUUUGCAGAGGGCGCUUUGGCUUUGGCAGCGGUCCAAGUUCCUUGGAACAGGACGUCACAGAGGGUGAGAAUCCCGUACGUGGUCGCUAGCUAUUGCCGUGUAAAGCCCCUUCGACGAGUCGAGUUGUUUGGGAAUGCAGCUCUAAAUGGGAGGUAAAUUUCUUCUAAAGCUAAAUAUUGGCCAGAGACCGAUAGCGCACAAGUAGAGUGAUCGAAAGAUGAAAAGCACUUUGGAAAGAGAGUCAAACAGCACGUGAAAUUGUUGAAAGGGAAGCGCUUGCAGCCAGACUUGCUUGCAGUUGCUCAUCCGGGCUUUUGCCCGGUGCACUCUUCUGCAGGCAGGCCAGCAUCAGUUUGGGCGGUGGGAUAAAGGUCUCUGACACGUUCCUUCCUUCGGGUUGGCCAUAUAGGGGAGACGUCAUACCACCAGCCUGGACUGAGGUCCGCGCAUCUGCUAGGAUGCUGGCGUAAUGGCUGUAAGCGGCCCGUCUUGAAACACGGACCAAGGAGUCUAACAUCUAUGCGAGUGUUUGGGUGUCAAGCCCGAGCGCGUAAUGAAAGUGAACGGAGGUGGGAACCCGCAAGGGUGCACCAUCGACCGAUCCUGAAGUUUACGGAAGGAUUUGAGUAAGAGCAUGGCUGUUGGGACCCGAAAGAUGGUGAACUAUGCUUGAAUAGGGUGAAGCCAGAGGAAACUCUGGUGGAGGCUCGCAGCGGUUCUGACGUGCAAAUCGAUCGUCAAAUUUGGGCAUAGGGGCGAAAGACUAAUCGAACUAUCUAGUAGCUGGUUCCUGCCG